AUUUCUCCUUCGCACUUCCACUAGCUGAGUAACAGGUAUUAGAUAGUCGGGAAACUCGACUAUAGCGUUCUCUCUUGUUUUGAUUUUUUUCAUUGAACUAUUUUUCUAGCCAAUUUCUAUCGAUAUGCGAAAAAGAAUGUAUAACUUUUACUUUCACACUCCCACUAGGUGUUUUCCACAGCUGUUCAACCCAAAUGUUGUUAAGCUCAUGAUGCAACUAAAAGAGAUUUGGAGCAAUUUGAAUCACUCUAACGCCCACUCGUAAAAAAAAGAAAGUAUAAAGAAUAUCCUAAGCGAUGAGAACUCGACGUGUUGAAUCCUGGGUGUUGGUAGACAUGCUAAUGGAAUGGCAUUAUACAUAUAAUUAAAUAAUCGCAAUACUCAUAUGUAAAAAAAAUAUAAUUUUAUUUUACUGAA
This is a long non-coding RNA of Drosophila santomea, 417 nucleotides long. RefSeq lists it as uncharacterized. The transcript is spliced from 2 exons. NCBI's taxonomy places the organism in Eukaryota, Metazoa, Arthropoda, Insecta, Diptera, Drosophilidae. The record is from RefSeq and is a predicted model, not a curated record.